CUGGAUAGCUCAGUUGGGUAGAGCAUCGGUUCAACACCGAGAGUCGCGGGUUCGAAUCCCGCUCCAAACCA
RNAcentral lists this transfer RNA (71 nucleotides) under Thermomonas aquatica. RNAcentral describes it as "Thermomonas sp. SY21 tRNA-Leu". It matches the Rfam family "tRNA". From Rfam's summary of the family: Transfer RNA (tRNA) molecules are approximately 80 nucleotides in length. Their secondary structure includes four short double-helical elements and three loops (D, anti-codon, and T loops). The record is from RNAcentral. Lineage: Bacteria; Pseudomonadati; Pseudomonadota; Gammaproteobacteria; Lysobacterales; Lysobacteraceae.